AUGGCGGUCGCCGCCACAGCCAUGGCGAUGGCCACCACCUCCACUGCCGCCCACGUUGUUCCCGCACUGUUCUCCUUCCUUCAACAGCGCCUCCGUCUCUGCCCCAAAGCCCGUAUCUCCACCUCCCGCCGCCUCCUGCUCCCUGUCUCCAUGUUCUCCACCCGGGACGGUUCGGCCUCCUACCAUGAAGAGGAUGAGGAAGGGGAGGCGGAGGAUUCUGCGGAAGCCGCCUUCGGGGACGAGGACGACGAGAAGCCGCAGCCGGAGGCGGUGUCCUCUACGGAGUUUCAGUUCGCGGCACCACCGGAGGGAUACAUUGAGCCGGCGCCAUUCGACGAGUUGCCGCCGGAAUCACCAGAGGACGUGGCAGCAGCCUACGAGUCGCUCUACGGGCCGGCCUUCAGCGGCGAGUCGUUGAUGGGGAACAACGUGUUCGAGGUGAAAGUGGUGGACCCCGUCGACAUGGACCGGGACCAGCGCCCCAACGACGAGUUCAGCGAGCGUGUCGUGCAGGUCAGCCGAGUCACCAAGGCUGGCAUGAACGGCCGCCGCAAUCUCGUUACAGUGCCACUAACCAAGUACUGCACCUUCCCGCACAGAGCUGAGGCGAACUAUGGAGCAGCAAAGGUCAUGCUGAGGCCUGCUUGCCCUGGAUCUGGUGUCACUGCAGGUGGAGCUGUGAGGGUUGUGCUGGAGAUGGCUGGAGUUGAAAAUGCUCUUGGGAAGCAGCUGCGAAGCAAGAAUCCCCUCAACAAUGCAAGGGCUACCGUCAAGGCGACACAGAUGAUGAGACAGUUCUCAGACGUUGCUGCAGAGCGUGGACUUCCAAUGGAGGAGUUAUGGAAAUGA
This 849-nucleotide ribosomal RNA is filed under the name Triticum aestivum (bread wheat). RNAcentral's name for it is "partial small subunit ribosomal RNA". The record is from RNAcentral. Lineage: Eukaryota; Viridiplantae; Streptophyta; Magnoliopsida; Poales; Poaceae.